Non-coding RNA from Phthorimaea operculella (potato tuberworm), 68 nucleotides. Lineage: Eukaryota; Metazoa; Arthropoda; Insecta; Lepidoptera; Gelechiidae. The record is from the annotation of a GenBank genome assembly.
GAUGUGGCGUAGCGGUAGUGCGAUUGUCUGCGACGCAGAAGGUUCCGCGUUCGAUUCUCGGUGGGUCA